This 1428-nucleotide long non-coding RNA is filed under the name Androctonus crassicauda. The record is from RNAcentral. Lineage: Eukaryota; Metazoa; Arthropoda; Arachnida; Scorpiones; Buthidae.
GUUAUGUAUUGUAAAAAUAAUAUUUUUAUUAUACUUGUCAGAAAUUCGGUCAACAAAACGUAUUGAUGUUCUGAAAUAUAUUUUAUUAAAUAUUCUUUUUUAAUUGAUAUGAUGAUGUACAUUGAUAUAUUAUAAAAUAUUAUUUGUUAUAUACCACCUCAAAAAUUGAUUAAAGCGUAAAUGUUAAAUUGCAAAUAUGUAGCUCACUCACCAGUGUUUGGAUGUAACUGUGUAAUAAGAUCUGGUUUUUCUCCAGCAAUCUUAACAGUUUUUCAAAGUAUCAUCAUGUUUUUAUUUGAUUACAUGAAUAUACUAUUAUGAAAUUAAGAGAUAAAUUUAAAAUGAAAAUGUACUGAUAUUUUAAAAUUGAUCUUGUUUUUCUAAUCAUCAAAAAUAUUUAAUCACGUUAUUAAAAAUAAUAAUUGUGUAUAAGCCUAACAAUUCUAUAUUAAUUCAUUUUUCAUGUCAUACAUUGUUCAUAUUAUAAAAACAUCAUUCGUAAUUAUUUUUAUUUUUUUUAUAAAAAUAGGAAUGUUGUUUUCAAAUUAUUGUGCCAAUUGCAGUUAUAGAAAAUCUCCGAUUUAUAUAAGUGGAUCAUUUUUCAAAACCCUACGUAAAUCAGAAUGUAUGUCUGAGCAUACCCUGUUCAGUAGCAGUUGUCACAAAACAUGAUAAUUAAAAUAGUGAUAUUAAAGAGUAAGCACACAAGUCAGCUAGAUGGGUGCAUGAUAAAACAGUCACUUACUUCUUGGAGGAUCCAGAUUUAAUUUAGAGCCCCAUGCCUCUAUUUUUCCAGGAGAAAUCUGAGUUCAGACAUAACAUGUUAACUAAAAUUGAUCUAAUAAAUAUAUAAGCUAUUUUUUCCUAAUUUUGUCAUUUAUUAUAUAUUCGCAUUGUAGUUUUAUCCAUUUCAAUCAGUAAAUUGUUCUUGUAAACCAGGAAAUCUUGCAUAAGUACAGAUCCACAUGUUGGAGAUUGCUGUAUUAAUAUGUAAUAUAUUUAUAAAUGAGUUGUUACUUUGUUAUAUAAUUGAAUUACUUUGGAAAAAAAUAAUUUUUCAAUAAUUAAUUAGAUUUAUUAUUCAACACAUUGCAUAUUUAAUUAAUAAAGUGACUAAUUUAAUUUCCUUAAAUUUCACUGAAAAAAAUAUCUUUGCUCUGUGAAUUCUAUUUAUUGUAUUUAAAAAAAAAUUAUAUAUCUUGAUUCAAACUAAAUUAUCUAUAAUGAUAUCACUAAAUUAAUGUUCUAUGAAGAUUUAUGAAUUAAAAUGUAUUUUUAAAAUGAGCUCAAUAUUUUAUAAAACUGACGGUUAAAAAAAUGUUUUUUUUAUGUAAUUUUACAGGAUGUUUUUGUUACAUUAAUGAAAUACUGUUUAUAGCUGUAUCUGCUACUGUUUAUGUAUAAAAGUGCUAAUAAUAAAUAAUUACG